AACGCUAGCGGCAGGCUUAACACAUGCAAGUCGAGGGGCAGCAUAAUGGAUAGCAAUANCUAUGGUGGCGACCGGCGCACGGGUGCGUAACGCGUAUGCAACCUACCUUUAACAGGGGGAUAACACUGAGAAAUUGGUACUAAUACCCCAUAAUAUCAUAGAAGGCAUCUUUUAUGGUUGAAAAUUCCGAUGGUUAGAGAUGGGCAUGCGUUGUAUUAGCUAGUUGGUGAGGUAACGGCUCACCAAGGCGACGAUACAUAGGGGGACUGAGAGGUUAACCCCCCACACUGGUACUGAGACACGGACCAGACUCCUACGGGAGGCAGCAGUGAGGAAUAUUGGUCAAUGGACGCAAGUCUGAACCAGCCAUGCCGCGUGCAGGAUGACGGCUCUAUGAGUUGUAAACUGCUUUUGUACUAGGGUAAACUCACCUACGUGUAGGUGACUGAAAGUAUAGUACGAAUAAGGAUCGGCUAACUCCGUG
Molecule: ribosomal RNA, 484 nt
Filed under: uncultured bacterium
Lineage: Bacteria
Description: bacterial SSU rRNA
Rfam family: Bacterial small subunit ribosomal RNA
Source: RNAcentral